RNAcentral lists this ribosomal RNA (645 nucleotides) under Shigella sonnei. RNAcentral describes it as "bacterial SSU rRNA". It matches the Rfam family "Bacterial small subunit ribosomal RNA", at positions 881 to 1526 of the family's 1533-position model. The record is from RNAcentral. Lineage: Bacteria; Pseudomonadati; Pseudomonadota; Gammaproteobacteria; Enterobacterales; Enterobacteriaceae.
UACGGCCGCAAGGUUAAAACUCAAAUGAAUUGACGGGGGCCCGCACAAGCGGUGGAGCAUGUGGUUUAAUUCGAUGCAACGCGAAGAACCUUACCUGGUCUUGACAUCCACAGAACUUUCCAGAGAUGGAUUGGUGCCUUCGGGAACUGUGAGACAGGUGCUGCAUGGCUGUCGUCAGCUCGUGUUGUGAAAUGUUGGGUUAAGUCCCGCAACGAGCGCAACCCUUAUCCUUUGUUGCCAGCGGUCCGGCCGGGAACUCAAAGGAGACUGCCAGUGAUAAACUGGAGGAAGGUGGGGAUGACGUCAAGUCAUCAUGGCCCUUACGACCAGGGCUACACACGUGCUACAAUGGCGCAUACAAAGAGAAGCGACCUCGCGAGAGCAAGCGGACCUCAUAAAGUGCGUCGUAGUCCGGAUUGGAGUCUGCAACUCGACUCCAUGAAGUCGGAAUCGCUAGUAAUCGUGGAUCAGAAUGCCACGGUGAAUACGUUCCCGGGCCUUGUACACACCGCCCGUCACACCAUGGGAGUGGGUUGCAAAAGAAGUAGGUAGCUUAACCUUCGGGAGGGCGCUUACCACUUUGUGAUUCAUGACUGGGGUGAAGUCGUAACAAGGUAACCGUAGGGGAACCUGCGGUUGGAUCAC